RNAcentral lists this ribosomal RNA (486 nucleotides) under uncultured bacterium. RNAcentral's name for it is "partial 16S ribosomal RNA". It matches the Rfam family "Bacterial small subunit ribosomal RNA", at positions 30 to 507 of the family's 1533-position model. The record is from RNAcentral.
AUUGAACGCUGGCGGCAUGCCUUACACAUGCCAGUCGAACAGCAGCACGGGUGCUUGCACCUGGUGGCGAGUGGCGAACGGGUGAGUAAUACAUCGGAACAUGUCCUGUAGUGGGGGAUAGCCCGGCGAAAGCCGGAUUAAUACCGCAUACGAUCUACGGAUGAAAGCGGGGGACCUUCGGGCCUCGCGCUAUAGGGUUGGCCGAUGGCUGAUUAGCUAGUUGGUGGGGUAAAGGCCUACCAAGGCGACGAUCAGUAGCUGGUCUGAGAGGACGACCAGCCACACUGGGACUGAGACACGGCCCAGACUCCUACGGGAGGCAGCAGUGGGGAAUUUUGGACAAUGGGCGAAAGCCUGAUCCAGCAAUGCCGCGUGUGUGAAGAAGGCCUUCGGGUUGUAAAGCACUUUUGUCCGGAAAGAAAUCCUUGGCCCUAAUACGGUCGGGGGAUGACGGUACCGGAAGAAUAAGCACCGGCUAACUACGUG